UACGCGAAGAACCUUACCUGGCCUUGACAUACUAAAAAGCUUUAAGAGAUUAGAGUGUGCUAGCUUGCUAGAAUUUAGAUACAGGUGCUGCACGGCUGUCGUCAGCUCGUGUCGUGAGAUGUUGGGUUAAGUCCCGCAACGAGCGCAACCCUCGUGUUUAGUUGCUAACAGUUCGGCUGAGAACUCUAAACAGACUGCCUACGCAAGUAGGAGGAAGGUGAGGACGACGUCAAGUCAUCAUGGCCCUUACGGCCAGGGCUACACACGUGCUACAAUGGGGUAUACAAAGAGCAGCGAUACGGUGACGUGGAGCAAAUCUAGAAAAUGCCUCUCAGUUCGGAUUGUAGUCUGCAACUCGACUACAUGAAGUUGGAAUCGCUAGUAAUCGUAGAUCAGCAAUGCUACGGUGAAUACGUUCCCGGGUCUU
This 427-nucleotide ribosomal RNA is filed under the name uncultured Arcobacter sp. Its description in RNAcentral is "bacterial SSU rRNA". It matches the Rfam family "Bacterial small subunit ribosomal RNA", at positions 958 to 1382 of the family's 1533-position model. The record is from RNAcentral. Lineage: Bacteria; Pseudomonadati; Campylobacterota; Epsilonproteobacteria; Campylobacterales; Arcobacteraceae.